UACAGAGGCCUCAAGCGUUAGGCGGAAUCACUGGGCUUAAAGCGUGUGUAGGCGGACUUCUAAGUGCCUUGUGAAAUCCCACGGCUCAACCGUGGAACUGCUGGGCAUACUGGGAGUCUUGGGCCAUUCAGGGGCAACUGGAACAAGCGGUGGAGCGGUGAAAUGCGUAGAUAUCGCUUGGAACGCCGAAGGUGAAAACAGGUUGCUGGGGAUGUGCAGACGCUGAGACACGAAAGCCAGGGGAGCAAACGGG
This 253-nucleotide ribosomal RNA is filed under the name uncultured bacterium. Its description in RNAcentral is "partial 16S ribosomal RNA". It matches the Rfam family "Bacterial small subunit ribosomal RNA", at positions 524 to 776 of the family's 1533-position model. The record is from RNAcentral.